GGCCUUGUGGUGCAAUGUUAGCGCGUCUGACGCCAGAUCUGAAGGUUGUCUGUUCAAAUCUCAUCAAGGUCA
Non-coding RNA from Merluccius polli (Benguela hake), 72 nucleotides. Lineage: Eukaryota; Metazoa; Chordata; Actinopteri; Gadiformes; Merlucciidae. The record is from the annotation of a GenBank genome assembly.